UCCUCUGAAAUCUUGAUUCUUUGCUCUGCUUUAUACAUUUAAAAAAAAAAAAAGAUUUCAAAUUGUAGAAAACUGCGCUGAAAUUUUCUCAUCAUCUUUUCAAGUUCAGUGAACUAACAUCUUAGAAAUUUGGAGUCUUUUAGAAGCACGGGCAUUCUCCCUGUUUUCAAAGAGGACUGUGGUAGUUUGAAUGAAAUUGGCCCUUAUAAGCGCAUAGAGAGUGGCACUAUUAGGAGGUGUGGCUUUGUUGGAGGAAGUGUGUCACUGUGGAGGUGGGCUUUGAGGUAUCCUAUAUGCUCAUGGUUUAUUCAGUGUGACAGGAGUGUUGACUUCCUGCUGCCUUCUGAUCAAGAUGUAGCCAGCACCACAUCUGCCUGCAUGCCUCCAUGCUCCCUGCUAUGAUGACAAUGACUGAAACUUUGAAACUGCAAGCAAGUCACCUCUAUUAAUGUUUUCCUUAUAAGAGUUGCUGUGGUCAUGGUAUCUGUUCACAGCAAUAGAAGCCCUAACCAAGACACAAGUUGGCACUAGGGACUGGGGUAUUGCUGUGACAGAUGGACCAUGCUUUUGUUUGGAGAAAUGUGGACUUUGGGAGGUUAGGAUAGGACAGCAGUGGAACGCUUUAAGCACUGCUUAAUGGACCGUACUAGUAGGAGCAUGGAAAAUAGCGGUGCUGAGAGUUAUUUGAACUGCUGGGAACUCAAUCAAGAGGUUUCAGAGGAGAAAAAGUUUCAUCACUGCGGAGAAGUUGAGGCCGAAUCUCCAAUAGCUAAUUCCAUUACAUCCGAGGUCAAGAGCAGAGAGCUGAAUGGCUGCAUGCUCAUUUGCUUGGCCAUGCUCAUCUUGACUUCUCCCCUCAAGACAGCAGAGGAGCCGAGGACCUCUCGCCUUGGGCACCGCGCUGCGUACACUGGGCUGAGUCUCUGCACAUCAGCUAACUUACUCAUUCAGGCUCUCCCAGGAGAUUCCAGGCCCUGUCAAGUUGACAACUGAAGACUGUCUUCUUGGCACCGACCUCAUAUCUGGCGGUAGAGAAUGCGCUAAUAAAUUUUGAUACCAAUUCUUACUUCUGGGAGAAACAAAGACUCAUGUUAGUCCUUUGUCUGGAAAGUAAAUAAAGAAACAAAGUUUCCAAAAAGCAGAAGAAACCGGCAUUUUCUAGUGGAAGAAAUACAACGUACGCAGCUUUACGCAGUGCGUGAGGGCGGGGUCGGUGGGCCCAUUUACCCCGUGUUGAUGGUCUUUUUCUCCUGAAAUAAACCUUUUGGGAAAGAAUUUCCAGAUUCCUGAUUUAGUAAAAGUCAAACGAUGAAUUUGCAUUGGAUUAGAAAAAUGCUGUUCUCAAUGUUUUCUCUUUAAGACAGCAAUCGUGUGUUUCUGCGGGUGUUUUUGAUUCAGAUCUCGUAUGGUCUUCUCUAAACUUCCGUGAGAUUUUCAUCUGUCAAGACAUUGUUCAAUCAGUUCAUUCUCUUUCAAAGUAAUCAUUGUUUCCUGGCCCUGAGUCUGGAAGAAUCCCUAGAGAAGAUGACACGAGCUUGGAACGGAAUGACCUUCUGCAAUGUUUGGCAGGAUUACGGUGCAGAGCUCAGCUCCAAAGAGGAGGGCUUCCUGGUGGAGUCCCACUACGAAAGUGUGAGGCGAUCAACAGGCAUUGUAAACAGCACACAUGAAGCUGAUGCUGUGGAGACCAGAGCCAUGGGUUCCUAUGGUCUGUGUGAGGACAGAAAGAUAUCAAUGUUUCCUAAAACAAAAAACAAAACAACAGCAAACAAAACAAAUAAAACAAAAAACAGUUUCCAGGACAAUAUGCAAAAUUCACAUUUUUUGCUGGGCAGUGGUGGUGCGCCUUUGAUCCAGCCCUUGGGAGGCAGAGUCAGGCAGAUCUCUGUGAGUUCAAGGCCAGUCUGGUCUACAGAGUGAGUUCCAGAACAGGCUCCAAAGCUACAGAGAAACCCUGUCUUGGGGGGAAAAGGGCAACAAAAAAAUCACAUUUUUUUGAUGAUUUUGAUGAUCCACACUGCUGAUGAUGAGAGACGGCUGCAGGUAGUAUUUUCCUGUAAAGGU
Arvicola amphibius (Eurasian water vole) is the source of this 2064-nucleotide long non-coding RNA. RefSeq lists it as uncharacterized. The record is from RefSeq and is a predicted model, not a curated record. The transcript has 3 exons. Lineage: Eukaryota; Metazoa; Chordata; Mammalia; Rodentia; Cricetidae.